UGGGGGAUAUUGCACAAUGGGCGAAAGCCUGAUGCAGCGACGCCGCGUGGGGGAUGAAGGCUUUCGGGUUGUAAACCUCUUUCGCUAUCGAACAAGGCCCGCUUAGGGUUGGUUGAGGGUAGGUGGAGAAGAAGCGCCGGCUAACUACGUGCCAGCAGCCGCGGUAAUACGUAGGGCGCGAGCGUUGUCCGGAAUUAUUGGGCGUAAAGGGCUUGUAGGCGGCUUGUUGCGCCUGCUGUGAAAACGCGGGGCUUAACUUCGCGCGUGCAGUGGGUACGGGCAGGCUUGAGUGUGGUAGGGGUGACUGGAAUUCCAGGUGUAGCGGUGGAAUGCGCAGAUAUCUGGAGGAACACCGAUGGCGAAGGAAGGUCACUGGGCCAUUACUGACGCUGAGGAGCGAAAGCAUGGGUAGCGAACAGG
Molecule: ribosomal RNA, 420 nt
Filed under: bacterium
Lineage: Bacteria
Description: partial 16S ribosomal RNA
Rfam family: Bacterial small subunit ribosomal RNA
Source: RNAcentral